AGUGAACGCUGGCGGUAGGCCUAACACAUGCAAGUCGAACGGCAGCACAGUAAGAGCUUGCUCUUACGGGUGGCGAGUGGCGGACGGGUGAGGAAUACAUCGGAAUCUACUUUUUCGUGGGGGAUAACGUAGGGAAACUUACGCUAAUACCGCAUACGACCUACGGGUGAAAGCAGGGGAUCUUCAGACCUUGCGCGAUUGAAUGAGCCGAUGUCGGAUUAGCUAGUUGGCAGGGUAAAGGGACACCAAGGCGACGCUGCGUAGCUGGGCUGAGAGGAUGAUAAGAGACCCUGGGAGUGAGACACGGGAGAGAGUGGGAGUGGAGGCAGCAGUGGGGAAUAUGGGAGAAUGGGGGAAAGCAUGAUGCAGAAAUGCGGCGUGAGUGAUGAAGGCCUUAGGGUUGUAAAGAUAUUUUAGCCGGGAUGAUAAUGACAGUAGCGGGAGAAUAAGCGACGGCUAACUCCGUG
This 467-nucleotide ribosomal RNA is filed under the name uncultured bacterium. Its description in RNAcentral is "partial 16S ribosomal RNA". It matches the Rfam family "Bacterial small subunit ribosomal RNA", at positions 30 to 507 of the family's 1533-position model. The record is from RNAcentral.